This 497-nucleotide ribosomal RNA is filed under the name uncultured bacterium. Its description in RNAcentral is "partial 16S ribosomal RNA". It matches the Rfam family "Bacterial small subunit ribosomal RNA", at positions 28 to 507 of the family's 1533-position model. The record is from RNAcentral.
GAUGAACGCUGGCGGCGUGCCUAAUACAUGCAAGUCGAGCGAACGGACGAGAAGCUUGCUUCUCUGAUGUUAGCGGCGGACGGGUGAGUAACACGUGGAUAACCUACCUAUAAGACUGGGAUAACUUCGGGAAACCGUAGCUAAUACCGGAUAAUAUUUUGAACCGCAUGGUUCAAAAGUGAAAGACGGUCUUGCUGUCACUUAUAGAUGGAUCCGCGCUGCAUUAGCUAGUUGGUAAGGUAACGGCUUACCAAGGCAACGAUGCAUAGCCGACCUGAGAGGGUGACCGGCCACACUGGAACGGAGACACGGUCAAGACUCCUACGGGAGGCAGCAGUAGGGAACCUUCCGCAAUGGGCGAAAGCCUGACGGAGCAACGCCGCGUGAGUGAUGAAGGUCUUCGGAUCGUAAAAUUCUGUUAUUAGGGAAGAACAUAUGUGUAAGUAACUGUGCACAUCUUGACGGUACCUAAUCAGAAAGCCACGGCUAACUACGUG